Molecule: ribosomal RNA, 486 nt
Filed under: Triticum aestivum (bread wheat)
Lineage: Eukaryota; Viridiplantae; Streptophyta; Magnoliopsida; Poales; Poaceae
Description: partial small subunit ribosomal RNA
Source: RNAcentral
AUGAAGAUCGUCUUCAUCACCACCUCCGCCGCCAUCGUCUGGUACAUGCGCCGCCACCCGCAGGUGCGCCGCACCUACGACCGGGACCAGGACACCUUCCGCCACGUCUUCCUCGUCGCCGCCGCCUUCGCGCUCGCCCUCAUCUUCAACGAGCGCUUCACCCUCCGCGAGAUAUGCUGGGCAUUUUCGAUUUACCUGGAGGCAGUGGCGAUUCUACCUCAGUUAGUUCUGCUCCAGAGAAGCAGAAAUGUGGAUAACUUGACUGGACAAUAUGUUCUGUUUCUCGGGGCCUACCGCGCAUUCUACAUUCUAAACUGGAUCUACCGUUAUUUCACAGAGGGUCACCAAAGCAGAUGGAUCCCUUGGAUUGCUGGUUUGGUCCAAACUGGUCUAUACGCAGAUUUCUUCUACUACUAUUUCUUGAGUUGGAAGAACAACGUGAAGCUCGAGCUGCCCGCCUGGGCGCAUGCCUGGGGUCAUGACUGA